This 353-nucleotide ribosomal RNA is filed under the name Ctenus maculisternis. Its description in RNAcentral is "partial small subunit ribosomal RNA". Lineage: Eukaryota; Metazoa; Arthropoda; Arachnida; Araneae; Ctenidae. The record is from RNAcentral.
GAUACCCUAUUAUAUUUAAAUAAAUUUAGGUAAUACCAAAAUUUAGAAAAACCUAUUUAUUUUGGCGGCAACAAUUUUAUUAAAGGAACUUGUUUAAUAAUCGAUAACCCACGUUUAUUUUAACUUGAAUUAAGUAAUUUAUAUACCGCCAUCUUAAGAAUUAACUUCAAUAAAUUAUUCUAAAUAAAUAAAUUUGUAAGAAGUUAGGUCAAGGUGUAAUUUACAUUUAAGAAAAAAUGAGUUACAAUAAACAUAAUUUAAGAAUUAUUAAUUAAAAAAUUAAUAUGAAAAAGGAUUUAAAUGUAAUAUUUUAAAUAAAAAUCUAAUAUGAACUAAAAAGAUGUGCACACAUC